This 432-nucleotide ribosomal RNA is filed under the name uncultured bacterium. Its description in RNAcentral is "partial 16S ribosomal RNA". It matches the Rfam family "Bacterial small subunit ribosomal RNA", at positions 29 to 507 of the family's 1533-position model. The record is from RNAcentral.
ACGAACGCUGGCGGCAUGCCUCACACAUGCCAGUCGAACGAAGGCUUCGGCCUUAGUGGCGCACGGGUGCGUAACGCGUGGGAAUCUGCCCUUUGGUUCGGAAUAACAGCUGGAAACGGCUGCUAAUACCGGAUGAUGACGAAAGUCCAAAGAUUUAUCGCCAGAGGAUGAGCCCGCGUUGGAUUAGGUAGUUGGUGGGGUAAAGGCCUACCAAGCCGACGAUCCAUAGCUGGUCUGAGAGGAUGAUCAGCCACACUGGGACUGAGACACGGCCCAGACUCCUACGGGAGGCAGCAGUGGGGAAUAUUGGACAAUGGGCGCAAGCCUGAUCCAGCAAUGCCGCGUGAGUGAUGAAGGCCCUAGGGUUGUAAAGCUCUUUUACCCGGGAAGAUAAUGACUGUACCGGGAGAAUAAGCCCCGGCUAACUCCGUG